UACGUAGGGUCCGAGCGUUGUCCGGAAUUAUUGGGCGUAAAGGGCUCGUAGGCGGUCUGUCGCGUCGGGAGUGAAAACUUACGGCUUAACUGUGAGCGUGCUUCCGAUACGGGCAGACUUGAGGUAUUCAGGGGAGAACGGAAUUCCUGGUGUAGCGGUGAAAUGCGCAGAUAUCAGGAGGAACACCGGUGGCGAAGGCGGUUCUCUGGGAAUAUCCUGACGCUGAGGAGCGAAAGUGUGGGGAGCGAACAGG
RNAcentral lists this ribosomal RNA (253 nucleotides) under uncultured bacterium. RNAcentral's name for it is "partial 16S ribosomal RNA". It matches the Rfam family "Bacterial small subunit ribosomal RNA", at positions 524 to 776 of the family's 1533-position model. The record is from RNAcentral.